UCUUCUCAACAGUUUCAUCUCUAGAAGAUAAAAGUGCUAUUUAGAUUCUGGAGGCCAACGUAGGGGGACUGCAAGCUCAAAGCCAUCCUGGUCUACAGAGUGAGUUACAGGUCUACUUGAUAGAGAAAAUGUGAUGGGAUCCUGGGAAGGACUCCUUGUCUAUUGAUGCAGAGCUUCAGCAUCAGAAUCUAAUAACUGACAUGACAUGGGGCUGAAAACCAUUAAUGAAUCUGUCUUCCCUGCGAUUCUCUUCCCAUUCUUCGCAGGCCUCUAUGACAAAGUGACAGUAACC
Alexandromys fortis (reed vole) is the source of this 292-nucleotide long non-coding RNA. RefSeq lists it as uncharacterized. The transcript is spliced from 3 exons. The record is from RefSeq and is a predicted model, not a curated record. Lineage: Eukaryota; Metazoa; Chordata; Mammalia; Rodentia; Cricetidae.